UACGGGGGGGGCAAGCGUUGUUCGGAAUUACUGGGCGUAAAGGGCUCGUAGGUGGCCAACUAAGUCAGACGUGAAAUCCCUCGGCUUAACCGGGGAACUGCGUCUGAUACUGGAUGGCUUGAGUUCGGGAGAGGGAUGCGGAAUUCCAGGUGUAGCGGUGAAAUGCGUAGAUAUCUGGAGGAACACCGGUGGCGAAGGCGGCAUCCUGGACCGACACUGACACUGAGGAGCGAAAGCCAGGGGAGCAAGCGGG
RNAcentral lists this ribosomal RNA (253 nucleotides) under uncultured bacterium. RNAcentral describes it as "partial 16S ribosomal RNA". It matches the Rfam family "Bacterial small subunit ribosomal RNA", at positions 524 to 776 of the family's 1533-position model. The record is from RNAcentral.